Long non-coding RNA from Myiozetetes cayanensis, 2678 nucleotides. RefSeq lists it as uncharacterized. NCBI's taxonomy places the organism in Eukaryota, Metazoa, Chordata, Aves, Passeriformes, Tyrannidae. The transcript has 5 exons. The record is from RefSeq and is a predicted model, not a curated record.
UCCUCUUCCCCUUGCCCAGGGGCUGCAUCACUGACUUGUGCCUAAAUGAACUCUUGCCCUGCAGCAGUUCUCUCUUGCUCUCAGAGAUGUUGCUCUGAGCAAAGGGCAAAAGGCUCCAUCCAAGCCGGGCCCGUGCUCCCCUCCUGCAUUCCUGCAGCAUCCCCUGUUUGCAGUUGCCAUCACUGCUGGACAUACACCCUGUUCCUGAACAAACUCCCUUGCUGUUCUCUCUCUGGGUCUCCCCUCACAACUCCCCUCCUCUGAUGCUCCAGGUGCCAAGGCACUCCUUUUUGAGUGGCACUCCUGCUCUGCUUCCCCCCCAUUCUUUAUAAAUCAAGAGCCAGGAGCCCCAAGUGCUGAGGGGGCUGCAGGGAGUAAGUGGCAAUGCCUGCCUUUGUCUCCCUGUGUUCCCUGCAGUUCUCCUGCCAGUUCUCCCCUGGGCUGGAGAGCCCUGCCUGGCCUGUGUUUAUGGGAGGAGAGUGAUGUUAUUUGUCCAAAAGGUGUGUUUGUGGGCACUCAUUUUCUGACAGGCAGCGCCCUUUUCCUAUUGCCUUUCCCAAGUUUUCCCAGGUGCUGCCCAGCAUGGGCCUUGGUGCGCUGGGACAGUGAUUGCCAGGAGGAAAGGGAGCCUUGGCCUCAGCUGCCCAGCUCAGGUGGGUGGGACAGGAUUGGGGUGGCCUGGCAAGGCACGAACAUAUUUCUGAGUUCUGGGGUGCCUUGAAACCUUUCCCUGUCAGGUUUCUCUCCCUGGUUUCCUGGGGUCCAGCAUCCCAGGUGUCUCUUCCUUUGUCCAAAGUCCAAUGGCAGAGGACUGAAUAACUCACAAGGGGGGUUUGGAAUGAAAAGGGUUCUGUUCCAAUUAGGCAAGGAAUGCAGUAAGAAAGAUGAGCCUCCUUUGAGUGCCUGAAACAGAGAGGAAUAAAAAUGCUGGAAAAGGUCACACUUUCUUUGGUGCCCCCCUGGAUUUCUCAUUGCUGCAAUAGUGAGCAAUCAGAACAGAAGGGUGAAGGACAAGACCCUUUGAGUUCCCCAGUGCACUUAACUGUCUUGUUCUCUUUUUCAGGACAGGCCAAAGCCCUGAAUUCAACCCAGCUCUGCCCAAUGCCUUGGGGUGUGAGUGGCCAAAAGCAAGAGGCUCCAGCCCUGCUGGCAGUGCUGGGGGCUCCUGGUCCUGCCUGGGGGGUGGGAUGAUGGAGUUACCUCUCUGGAUGUGUGCUGAGCUCUGGCUGCAACCGUCUGCACUGGGCACUCCCUGGGCCUUCCUUCCUCAGCAGCCCUGUGGGACGAGACAGAAGAGAUGUGAGAUGAUGGAGUUGUCUCUCUGGAUGUGUGCUGAACUCUGGCUGCAGGGGACUGUCAGGCCUUGGUGGCAAUCUUCUCUUUCUGCCUUUGAAUUCACAGCCUCCUUGCAGCUCCCAGCUGGGAAAACCUGGGGUGACUCAGUGGGGACAGAGGUGACAUUUUUAUCUGAAAACUUGGGGUAAUUUCUAGGAGAAAGAUAGGGAAUGGGGGACUGGCUUGUGUAGAAUUCACCUAGAAAGUAAAACAGGGGGAUUGUUGGAGGAUCUGGCUCCUUAGGGAACCUGCUGGGAGUAGAGAAGCACAACCCCAAAUCUCCAGCUGUGUGAGUGGAGUCGUGGAACGUAAACCAGCACAAAGCGAUAGCCCAAAAUGAACCAUGGGAGAGCAGGACCAAAUGAGGGUCACUGUCACUGUGGAAAGGCAAAAGGAAUUGGCUGGGACCUGGAUUGUCCCCUUGGAGAUGCUGGUUGCUGGGAUUUAGAGAAUGCCCUGCCUUAGACUGCCGAGAUCUCUCAGUGCAGCGGCUUUCGCUGACAUGGCAGCACAAAGAUUGUUCUCUGCAUGGGGCCAGGGUUUGGAUGCCGGGAUCAGCUUUGCAGGUUUAGAUGAAUUCUACCUACAGCCCGCAGUUCCACACGGAAUUCCUGCUGGAAUAGCCUCCCAGUGCCUCACGGAGCCCGGAUCUUCCCCUGCAGAGCUGCCGCUUCAGCGCCAGGUUUGCCAGGAAGCAGCCAAGGGUCCAGAUGUGCUCAGCGGGAUCAGGACAAGGAUAAGUUGAUAUUGCACGGAAUUUGUUGUUUAUAACCCUCCUCCCCCAGCCCCACUGGUGUCCCUGGGGGGCAGUCAAGCAAGUUCCCUGGAAUUGAGCCGAUUCUCCCCCCGGGCCGGGCUCCAGGGGUGUGUUCCCCCAGAAGAAGGCGGUGGCCGGAUGCGCUCCCGGCAUGGGCUAAGGCAGCCUCUGCUCUCGGUGCCGGAAGCUGCUGUCACUUCUGAGCCUCAGGAGCGGCCCUUGCAAGUUCCUUUCCCAUGCAGAUGCAGCUGGAGGCCAACGCGGACACGUCGGCAGAGGAGGAGAGCUUUGGGCCACAGCUCAUAUCCAGGCUGGAGCAAUGUGGUAUAAAUGCCAACGAUGUGAAGAAGCUGGAAGAGGCUGGAUUUCACACCGUGGAGGCCGUGGCUUAUGCACCAAAGAAGGAGCUGCUGAACAUCAAAGGCAUCAGCGAAGCCAAAGCUGACAAAAUCCUGGUAAGGAUGUUAUGGAACAUUGACCCAAGAUAUUCCACAAGCUUCUUUCUGCUGACUUGAAGAGUUCUGGUGGAUUUGGAAGUCUCCAAAGGGCAGUAAAGGUGGUUAGAGGUGUGACAUGGCUUCUGACA